UGUCUGUCUCCAUUAGGCUCUUCUCUUUUAUGCCUUUCCCUCUUUCUAUAUAUUUGCCACACUCUUCAUUACUCUCUCUCUCUCUCUCUCUCUCUCUCUCUCUUACACAUGCUGCUGUCCCCCUCUCUCUUGAUGUUACAUGUAAGCGCUUGCAUUUUGUUUUAAAACUUCUUGACUGUAAUGCCUACUUUCACUUCAUAAUAGCCAUCAUGCAGAAAAUGCCAGCUUCCAAAUUGUGUUUUCUGUUUGGGUAACAUUUAUUAAAAAUUUUGCUGGAUUAAAUGAAUCUCAAAGUCAAAUUCAGCAUGAAAAGUACUUGAAUAUAACAAAUUUGAAAAUCUUUUCUUGAGAGCAAUAGAAAAGAUCUUUCUCUUUCUCUCUCUCUCUCUCUCACUCUCUCUCUCUCUCUCUCUCCUCUCUCUCUCCUCUCUGUCUCUCACUCUCUCACUCUGUCUGUCUGUCUCUCUCUCUCUCUCUCUCCCUCAAUCUGUAUCUCGCUCACAUUGAGUGUGUAUUUGUAUAAGGGAUUUCAUUAGUUGUGACAGAGUGAAAAGAGCCUUGCAAAGUAGCCGCAGUGAGCUGAGAAAAAUCUUUACAUGGAAAAAACUUAGUUUAUUGAUACAUUAUAAAUCCCCCCCAAAUAAUGCAGAAAUCUGUCCUGAUUAAGAGGCCUCUCCAUUGGAGAAGACAUGGUCUGGCAUGGAACGAAAAAAAAAAAUUGAAAUAAAUAAUAAUUCUAUUAUGAAAAUUAACUGGCAACAGGUCAUUUUAAACGAGCUAGAGAGAUUCGGGUAUACACUUGUGAUUGUUCUAUUAAAAUUGAUUCAGUGAUGAAGUCAAAUUUUUAGUGGUAUUGAAGCUUUUCCCACUAACUCUUCUGGAGCAUUUAGUGAGGCGAGAGCCCCAAACACCUCAGCUGUAUGACGAACCUGACAGGGAAAUCUUUGUUGACAAGGAAAUUCAUAGUUAAAUAACAAGAGUAGAAAUUAAUAUUAUUAAAUAAUAUCAAUUUCAAUUAGUGGUCAGCAUACUUAAAAAAUGUCCAAGGACCGUGAAUUCUAUUUAAGUAUAAACAAUACAAGAAAUCACUAUGUGGACCUCUUGUAUGCUAAAAAUAGAUGCCAAACCGUCUUACCACUAAAUCUGUGUUCCCUGCUUAAUAAGACACUAGAUAUCUAGCUCAUAAACAUCUAGCGUCUUACUAAGUUGAGAACACAGAUUUAAUGGCAAGAUGGUUUGAUGUCUAUUUUUAGCAUAGAAGGGAUCCACAUAGUGAUCUCUCAUAUUGUUUAUAUUUAAAUUCCUAGUUAACCAUUCAUUUAAUAAGUGAAAUUCUCAUCUCUUGAGUCACUCCAUUGCUUUGGCUAAAUAUUAAUAAAAUCAUACAAAUACUCAUAUUUUGGGUUCUAUUUUUCCUGUUUGCUUCACCACACUUGUAGUUAACCAUUCAGUAAUCAUUGGUGGGAUUAUUGCUUUUAACCCUUCAGAAAUUCUUACUCCCAUGUGAUGUAAGAACCCGACCUUGGUGAUGCUGUUUGAAGCUUUUCAUGUGAGAGAUAUGUUAUAGCACCAUAUUUCAUCAAGAUAGACUUCAUAUCAGCACAAAACAACAUAGACAAAUAUUCUUGAUAAACUUCUGAGGUUCUUUAUUAUUAACCCUUCAACAUUCAAAUUAUUCCGUCACCUGUUAUUCACAUUGCUUUGAAUUAGUCAUGCUUUAUCUCAUGGCUUCAAGAUUUUGAUGAUGUGGUUGUAUGUUAUUAAAAUGAUAUUGCAGGAUAGGUGUAAGAGGCCAGAUCUAGCUGGAUAUUUUGGCCGGUUUGACCAAUUUAAAUGCUAAACGGUUAAACAUUACGAACUGUAUGAGGGUAUGUUUGUCCUAGACUACUCCCAGUUCAGGGUUCAAAGCAAGGGGCAGGAUUACUUAAAGGUGAAACUUCCACUGUUUACCCACAAGAAAGUCUGGCCUUCUCGCUCACCUGAACUGAAUCCAUCCAUUUAGGUCAGUGCACAUCAUUGAAUAUAGGUCAGUGCAACAGUUUACGCAGUCACUACACUGAAGAUUUCUAUAAGGAAGGUAUUCGGAUUUAAUUACAUAAGUGGAGCAUGGGGCUGAGGGGGGGGGGCUGAUUCAGAUUCCUUCAUCCCUAUUCAUUCAAUUAUACUUGUUGAUGUUGAACAUAUUGGAUGAUAUCUGUCUUUAUGUUGCAUAUGUGUGUUGUGUGUGUGUGAGUGCAUCAUUUUAUAUCCAUUUCCCUGCAUAGACUGGAUAAAUCUUCUCCAGCACAAGAUCUUGCCAUUUGUUGUGGGUCCUUUUCAUCUCCUUAAUGAGAUUUAGCUUCCUGAGACCAAUUUUCACUUCUUCCCAUGUCUUCCUCAAUUUCGAUCUGCUGCAGAUUCCUUCCAUCUGAAUUAUAGAAGAUUCUUUUUGCCCCAGCAUCAUCCUUUAUGGGCAUCACAUAUCCUUACGACUAAAGUUUUCUCUCUUGCACACUACAACUGAUUCAUCUUACACACAUUUUCUGAAAGUUUCUGUGUCCCCUGUUCUUAGUGUUGCUGCAAUGCUUUCAAAACUCCCUUCUCCAUUGCUAAUUAGGUCACCUGCUUAGGUUAUUAAUACCUUCCAAGGUACUCUCUUCCCAUUUGAUUGAACAUAUUUCAGCAACAACUUGCCAUGUACAGUCAUUCAUCUUUGUCAGCCUCUGAUCCCACCUCAUCUCUUAUACCCUCACACGUUUAUAUUGUGGUACACUGUACGGGGUUCCUACCUGUUCCUUUCUUGCAUAUCAAGCUUGACCAUAUCCCAGACACCAUUAAGGUCUGGUUUUCUUUCUUGUGGAG
This is a long non-coding RNA of Octopus sinensis (East Asian common octopus), 2841 nucleotides long. RefSeq lists it as uncharacterized. Lineage: Eukaryota; Metazoa; Mollusca; Cephalopoda; Octopoda; Octopodidae. The transcript is spliced from 2 exons. The record is from RefSeq and is a predicted model, not a curated record.